Molecule: ribosomal RNA, 40 nt
Filed under: Veronica pulvinaris
Lineage: Eukaryota; Viridiplantae; Streptophyta; Magnoliopsida; Lamiales; Plantaginaceae
Description: partial 28S ribosomal RNA
Source: RNAcentral
CCGCGACCCCRGGUCAGGCGGGACUACCCGCUGAGUUUAA